Molecule: small nucleolar RNA, 130 nt
Filed under: Echinops telfairi (small Madagascar hedgehog)
Lineage: Eukaryota; Metazoa; Chordata; Mammalia; Afrosoricida; Tenrecidae
Description: Small Cajal body specific RNA 24 (ENSETEG00000025205.1)
Rfam family: Small Cajal body specific RNA 24
About the family: scaRNAs are a specific class of small nuclear RNAs which localise to the Cajal bodies and guide the modification of RNA polymerase II transcribed spliceosomal RNAs U1, U2, U4, U5 and U12. ACA12 belongs to the H/ACA box class of guide RNAs as it has the predicted hairpin-hinge-hairpin-tail structure,the conserved H/ACA-box motifs and is found associated with GAR1.
Source: RNAcentral
UGGACAUUUAUCCUUACUCAAUUUCUUCUCAAGGUGAAUAUAACUCUUUAUAAAUAUCCUAUAGAAAUAUAGUAACUUUCUGUAGACCCUUUGCAAGUAAAAAGGGUGGAUCAUUCUACUAUUGACACUU